RNAcentral lists this ribosomal RNA (562 nucleotides) under uncultured bacterium. RNAcentral describes it as "partial 16S ribosomal RNA". It matches the Rfam family "Bacterial small subunit ribosomal RNA", at positions 355 to 912 of the family's 1533-position model. The record is from RNAcentral.
UGGGGAAUUUUGGACAAUGGGCGAAAGCCUGAUCCAGCAAUGCCGCGUGUGUGAAGAAGGCCUUCGGGUUGUAAAGCACUUUUGUCCGGAAAGAAAUCCUUGGCUCUAAUACAGUCGGGGGAUGACGGUACCGGAAGAAUAAGCACCGGCUAACUACGUGCCAGCAGCCGCGGUAAUACGUAGGGUGCAAGCGUUAAUCGGAAUUACUGGGCGUAAAGCGUGCGCAGGCGGUUUGCUAAGACCGAUGUGAAAUCCCCGGGCUCAACCUGGGAACUGCAUUGGUGACUGGCAGGCUAGAGUAUGGCAGAGGGGGGUAGAAUUCCACGUGUAGCAGUGAAAUGCGUAGAGAUGUGGAGGAAUACCGAUGGCGAAGGCAGCCCCCUGGGCAAUACUGACGCUCAUGCACGAAAGCGUGGGGAGCAAACAGGAUUAGAUACCCUGGUAGUCCACGCCCUAAACGAUGUCAACUAGUUGUUGGGGAUUCAUUUCCUUAGUAACUAGCUAACGCGUGAAGUUGACCGCCUGGGGAGUACGGUCGCAAGAUUAAAACUCAAAUGAAUUG